Molecule: long non-coding RNA, 533 nt
Filed under: Homo sapiens (human)
Lineage: Eukaryota; Metazoa; Chordata; Mammalia; Primates; Hominidae
Description: HSALNT0376207
Source: RNAcentral
GAGAAUCUGCUUACCAGCAAUCUACAGGCAAGCAGCAUCUCUACAUAACCUGAAAGAGUAGUCAGUUGAUUCUAUAAACAGCAACUAUAAACACAUAAAUACAGAAGAAUGAACCUCGGAGUCCUGAAAACACUGCCACUAUGAAACUAUGAAAAAGGAGACAGCGAAAUAGACUUGUCAUCCUGUGCAGGUCUCUUACUAAAGCUUCCUGUUCAAAGUCUGGCUGAGAAUUUUUGCUGCUUCUUUCCCUACCUCCUCAUUUCCGAAGGAGGUACCUUUCUGGCUUCUCUGUUGAACAUUUCCUAAAUAAAGUGUGGAUGAAAAGCAAUAGAGGAAGGAAAUGCAGAAAAUUAUAAGGCUGAAAUAGAAACUGGCCACAGCAGAGAUUAAAGGCCCUUCCUGGGUUAGCUGAUGCUCACCUACAUUGAUGAGGACAAUCUUUGUUUAGUUUGCUGAUUCAAUUGCUCACCUCUUCUGGAAACACCUUCACAGACUCACCAGAAAUAAUGUUUUACCAGCCAUCUGGGCAUCUG